This 2902-nucleotide ribosomal RNA is filed under the name Escherichia coli. RNAcentral describes it as "bacterial LSU rRNA". It matches the Rfam family "Bacterial large subunit ribosomal RNA". Lineage: Bacteria; Pseudomonadati; Pseudomonadota; Gammaproteobacteria; Enterobacterales; Enterobacteriaceae. The record is from RNAcentral.
UUAAGCGACUAAGCGUACACGGUGGAUGCCCUGGCAGUCAGAGGCGAUGAAGGACGUGCUAAUCUGCGAUAAGCGUCGGUAAGGUGAUAUGAACCGUUAUAACCGGCGAUUUCCGAAUGGGGAAACCCAGUGUGUUUCGACACACUAUCAUUAACUGAAUCCAUAGGUUAAUGAGGCGAACCGGGGGAACUGAAACAUCUAAGUACCCCGAGGAAAAGAAAUCAACCGAGAUUCCCCCAGUAGCGGCGAGCGAACGGGGAGCAGCCCAGAGCCUGAAUCAGUGUGUGUGUUAGUGGAAGCGUCUGGAAAGGCGCGCGAUACAGGGUGACAGCCCCGUACACAAAAAUGCACAUAUUGUGAGCUCGAUGAGUAGGGCGGGACACGUGGUAUCCUGUCUGAAUAUGGGGGGACCAUCCUCCAAGGCUAAAUACUCCUGACUGACCGAUAGUGAACCAGUACCGUGAGGGAAAGGCGAAAAGAACCCCGGCGAGGGGAGUGAAAAAGAACCUGAAACCGUGUACGUACAAGCAGUGGGAGCACGCUUAGGCGUGUGACUGCGUACCUUUUGUAUAAUGGGUCAGCGACUUAUAUUCUGUAGCAAGGUUAACCGAAUAGGGGAGCCGAAGGGAAACCGAGUCUUAACUGGGCGUUAAGUUGCAGGGUAUAGACCCGAAACCCGGUGAUCUAGCCAUGGGCAGGUUGAAGGUUGGGUAACACUAACUGGAGGACCGAACCGACUAAUGUUGAAAAAUUAGCGGAUGACUUGUGGCUGGGGGUGAAAGGCCAAUCAAACCGGGAGAUAGCUGGUUCUCCCCGAAAGCUAUUUAGGUAGCGCCUCGUGAAUUCAUCUCCGGGGGUAGAGCACUGUUUCGGCAAGGGGGUCAUCCCGACUUACCAACCCGAUGCAAACUGCGAAUACCGGAGAAUGUUAUCACGGGAGACACACGGCGGGUGCUAACGUCCGUCGUGAAGAGGGAAACAACCCAGACCGCCAGCUAAGGUCCCAAAGUCAUGGUUAAGUGGGAAACGAUGUGGGAAGGCCCAGACAGCCAGGAUGUUGGCUUAGAAGCAGCCAUCAUUUAAAGAAAGCGUAAUAGCUCACUGGUCGAGUCGGCCUGCGCGGAAGAUGUAACGGGGCUAAACCAUGCACCGAAGCUGCGGCAGCGACGCUGAUGCGUUGUUGGGUAGGGGAGCGUUCUGUAAGCCUGCGAAGGUGUGCUGUGAGGCAUGCUGGAGGUAUCAGAAGUGCGAAUGCUGACAUAAGUAACGAUAAAGCGGGUGAAAAGCCCGCUCGCCGGAAGACCAAGGGUUCCUGUCCAACGUUAAUCGGGGCAGGGUGAGUCGACCCCUAAGGCGAGGCCGAAAGGCGUAGUCGAUGGGAAACAGGUUAAUAUUCCUGUACUUGGUGUUACUGCGAAGGGGGGACGGAGAAGGCUAUGUUGGCCGGGCGACGGUUGUCCCGGUUUAAGCGUGUAGGCUGGUUUUCCAGGCAAAUCCGGAAAAUCAAGGCUGAGGCGUGAUGACGAGGCACUACGGUGCUGAAGCAACAAAUGCCCUGCUUCCAGGAAAAGCCUCUAAGCAUCAGGUAACAUCAAAUCGUACCCCAAACCGACACAGGUGGUCAGGUAGAGAAUACCAAGGCGCUUGAGAGAACUCGGGUGAAGGAACUAGGCAAAAUGGUGCCGUAACUUCGGGAGAAGGCACGCUGAUAUGUAGGUGAAGUCCCUUGCGGAUGGAGCUGAAAUCAGUCGAAGAUACCAGCUGGCUGCAACUGUUUAUUAAAAACACAGCACUGUGCAAACACGAAAGUGGACGUAUACGGUGUGACGCCUGCCCGGUGCCGGAAGGUUAAUUGAUGGGGUCAGCGCAAGCGAAGCUCUUGAUCGAAGCCCCGGUAAACGGCGGCCGUAACUAUAACGGUCCUAAGGUAGCGAAAUUCCUUGUCGGGUAAGUUCCGACCUGCACGAAUGGCGUAAUGAUGGCCAGGCUGUCUCCACCCGAGACUCAGUGAAAUUGAACUCGCUGUGAAGAUGCAGUGUACCCGCGGCAAGACGGAAAGACCCCGUGAACCUUUACUAUAGCUUGACACUGAACAUUGAGCCUUGAUGUGUAGGAUAGGUGGGAGGCUUGGAAGUGUGGACGCCAGUCUGCAUGGAGCCGACCUUGAAAUACCACCCUUUAAUGUUUGAUGUUCUAACGUUGACCCGUGAUCCGGGUUGCGGACAGUGUCUGGUGGGUAGUUUGACUGGGGCGGUCUCCUCCUAAAGAGUAACGGAGGAGCACGAAGGUUGGCUAAUCCUGGUCGGACAUCAGGAGGUUAGUGCAAUGGCAUAAGCCAGCUUGACUGCGAGCGUGACGGCGCGAGCAGGUGCGAAAGCAGGUCAUAGUGAUCCGGUGGUUCUGAAUGGAAGGGCCAUCGCUCAACGGAUAAAAGGUACUCCGGGGAUAACAGGCUGAUACCGCCCAAGAGUUCAUAUCGACGGCGGUGUUUGGCACCUCGAUGUCGGCUCAUCACAUCCUGGGGCUGAAGUAGGUCCCAAGGGUAUGGCUGUUCGCCAUUUAAAGUGGUACGCGAGCUGGGUUUAGAACGUCGUGAGACAGUUCGGUCCCUAUCUGCCGUGGGCGCUGGAGAACUGAGGGGGGCUGCUCCUAGUACGAGAGGACCGGAGUGGACGCAUCACUGGUGUUCGGGUUGUCAUGCCAAUGGCACUGCCCGGUAGCUAAAUGCGGAAGAGAUAAGUGCUGAAAGCAUCUAAGCACGAAACUUGCCCCGAGAUGAGUUCUCCCUGACCCUUUAAGGGUCCUGAAGGAACGUUGAAGACGACGACGUUGAUAGGCCGGGUGUGUAAGCGCAGCGAUGCGUUGAGCUAACCGGUACUAAUGAACCGUGAGGCUUAACCUU